UCCAGGGUAGCCUAGUGGACAUGGCAUCUGCCCGGUAAGCGGAUCACGGUGGGUUCGAUUCCCACCCCUGGAC
This 73-nucleotide transfer RNA is filed under the name Cordylochernes scorpioides. RNAcentral describes it as "tRNA-Thr". It matches the Rfam family "tRNA". Rfam says of the family: Transfer RNA (tRNA) molecules are approximately 80 nucleotides in length. Their secondary structure includes four short double-helical elements and three loops (D, anti-codon, and T loops). The record is from RNAcentral. Lineage: Eukaryota; Metazoa; Arthropoda; Arachnida; Pseudoscorpiones; Chernetidae.